Molecule: long non-coding RNA, 1274 nt
Filed under: Pogona vitticeps (central bearded dragon)
Lineage: Eukaryota; Metazoa; Chordata; Lepidosauria; Squamata; Agamidae
Description: lncRNA (ENSPVIG00000015004.1)
Source: RNAcentral
CCAUAAAAGGCAGAUCCUGAAUCUAACCAACUGUGCAUAUUGAAUUAAUAAACAAUAUGUAAUUGGUCAGUAUUACAAUUGAGUUACAAACACAGUGCUGGGCUAAGGGGUGUCUGGCUGGCUAUUUUCAGAGUCCUAGAUAAAACAAGAGUGCUGCAAUCCAGAUAUAUUCCCAGGAGAAGAUCUUUCCAUAUUAGAAAGACACAUUGAAUUGGCAACCUUGGAAGAGCCUCGGUACUGAAACAGCAGGUGUGUGUAGAAGCAAAGGAGGUCAGGGGCGUAUUGGCAGAGACAUGCAGCGAAGCUUCGAUUACCAUGCCAGUAGAUUUCCACAUUCCCAGUUUUUCAGCAGGGGUUGCCAAUAUAGGCUUCCAAAUCUAUCCAAGAGGGACUAGGUAGCUCAUUCGCCCUUGAUUUGUCAUUGUUCCAGUAGAGUGUGCACUCUCCAUGUCAAGUCGUUGUGGUGACAGCCUCGCCUCCUACGUAUAGCUCUAGGGAAGAGCUGCUGCUCAUAUUUCAUGUUGCCUCCAAGUCCAGCACAACAGAGCUUUGCAAAAAAAAAAAUUGCAGCUCCCUGACCCCUCCACCCCAACCACUAUGAAUUACACUGGCACUUCUUACUCACUGUUUUUCUGAAGCACUCCUAUUGAAUCAAUGACUGAAUGUUGACUCAACAUUUAGGAUAUGUUCUCUCUGGGACUAUCAAUUGGAUUCUAUCCAUAUAGUCUAAGAGGGAAUGUUGUUAAAAACACACAUCCAUCUUUUGUUCCAAGACCCACUGAAGAAUGGGGAGCUACUCCAUGCCAUGCACCUGUCCAGCAUAUGAAGAAUUGCCUCGCCUUCCUGUAUACCGUAAAGAAUCCAGGUCAUCUGAUGGAAUCAGCUGCCAAUACGUUCAAGGAAAAGACCUUUCAUAAUCCCAUUCCUCCUACUUUAUCCUCUGCUAGUUGUAUAUAUGUCUUCUAGGACUAUGCCACAGCAAGUUUGUAAAGUAUGGAAGGGGUGGAGGUGGGGAUGGAAACUAAGCAAGAUAACGUGUUGGGUAGGGGUGCUUAUUAACCUCAUGCGGACAUAGCUCACAUGACAGGUGCUGUAGCCAGCAACUGAAACCUCUGAACACCCUAGCAUUUCUAUGCCACAGCAAAUUUGCUAAGUAUGGAAGGGGUGGAGGUGGGGAUGGAAACUAAGCAAGAUAACGUGUUGGGUAGGGGUGCUUAUUAACCUCAUGCGGACAUAGCUCACAUGACAGGUGCUGUGGCCAGCAACUGAAACCU